GAGACUGCCGGUGGUCAAACCCGGAGGAAGGUGGGGAUGACGUCAAGUCCUCAUGGCCUUUAUGACCAGGGCUACACACGUACUACAAUGGCAGGUACAAAGGGCAGCCACUUAGCGAUAAGGCGCGAAUCCCAUAAAACCUGUCUCAGUCCGGAUUGGAGUCUGCAACUCGACUCCAUGAAGUUGGAAUCGCUAGUAAUCGCAGAUCAGCACGCUGCGGUGAAUACGUUCCCGGGCCUU
RNAcentral lists this ribosomal RNA (240 nucleotides) under uncultured Desulfocapsa sp. Its description in RNAcentral is "partial 16S ribosomal RNA". It matches the Rfam family "Bacterial small subunit ribosomal RNA", at positions 1145 to 1382 of the family's 1533-position model. The record is from RNAcentral. Lineage: Bacteria; Pseudomonadati; Thermodesulfobacteriota; Desulfobulbia; Desulfobulbales; Desulfocapsaceae.